RNAcentral lists this transfer RNA (73 nucleotides) under Gemmatimonadaceae bacterium. RNAcentral's name for it is "tRNA-Trp". It matches the Rfam family "tRNA". From Rfam's summary of the family: Transfer RNA (tRNA) molecules are approximately 80 nucleotides in length. Their secondary structure includes four short double-helical elements and three loops (D, anti-codon, and T loops). Lineage: Bacteria; Pseudomonadati; Gemmatimonadota; Gemmatimonadia; Gemmatimonadales; Gemmatimonadaceae. The record is from RNAcentral.
GGGUUAGUAGCUCAAUUGGUAGAGCACCGGUCUCCAAAACCGGCGGUUGAAGGUUCGAGUCCUUCCUGGCCCG